RNAcentral lists this long non-coding RNA (10495 nucleotides) under Olea europaea subsp. europaea. The record is from RNAcentral. Lineage: Eukaryota; Viridiplantae; Streptophyta; Magnoliopsida; Lamiales; Oleaceae.
AAAAAAUAUUAGACUGAUUAAAAUUUUCUGUAGUUUUUUCGUCCAAAAUUUAUAUUGUUUUGUCAUGAUUAGCUGUACCAUAUAUCUGAAACAAGGAGCCCUUCUUAUUAUUGCCUGUAUCUUGAGCAGUUUUCAAUGAUAUCCACAAUGGUUUACUAUUCUUUUGCUGUUAUCCACAAUGUUUUGCUAGCCUUUUGCUGUUUCAUUUAAAUAAUGUGAUAGAGCUGUGCAGUUGUGAAACUAUUUGUUGCUUUCAUCUCAAAAAAGAAAAAAAUAAAGAGGGAUCUCUUUUUCUCCUCCACUUAGUGUAUCAUUAAGUCAUUUUCUUCGGUCUUAUGUCACGGAUGUUAUAGUUUGCUAUCAUUACAUCCUUUCAUAAUUAUUUUUGUUCCGUUUACACCAGGACUCACCAGAUUCAGUGAGACUUAUCGUGGUUGCUGUUUCGGUAUUUGGGCCUCAGAAGAUUAUUCAAGGUCUUAUAUCUGCUGAUUUGGGGACUCGAGAAUUUUUUCAAUAUUUCAACGAGAGGAUUAUUCCCUCGUGCUUGAGAGAAGUUGGUCCUAAUGCAUCUCGGUUAGACCUCUUGCUGGCAUUACUUGAUGAAGAGUGCUUCUCAGAGCAGUGGAAUGCCAUCAUUAUGUAUUUAAUAAAUUCAGAACAAGUGGGUGUUACUCCUGGAACUGUGGACAACAACAAAAUAUCUAUCUUGGCUAUGUUGAUAGAGAAGGUUAGGGAGAGAACUAGAAAGCAUGCUCAUCUGGAAGGAUCCUGCUCAUACGAAUGGCAUCAUGAGCUUCUAGAUUCAGCUGCUCUCUCUAUCAUCCAUUCUUUUCCUCCAUUUAGGAAGUCUGAUGCUCACUUUUUAUGGUACGUAAAUAGUGAUAUCUUGAAAUAUUUGCAGGUCAUUUAUAACUAUUCAAUGCAUACUGCAUCUCAUUUCUCUAAAAUGGGAUUUGCUCUAUUUAAUCCCUUUGUAUGUUCUAUUGCUUUAUAUCUGUUGGCGUUUUAGUAAGUCAAUCUUUCUGAUUAUCAUGCAUGGUUUGGAGAAUUGUCCCUGCGACCUUCACUUCUUGGCAUGGUCUCUGACCUGUCAAUAUCUGUAGAAUUAUCAUGCCAUUUUGGAAUCGCACAGUAAUUUAAAAAGGUUUCCCUUUAGAUUGGAACACGAUAAGGUCCAUCUUGAAGUCUCUAAUCAUUAGUCAAUUUUAAAACUUGAACAUAUGAAGACUUUGGAGAAGGUUAUGUUACACAAGCUCCAUAUUAAAGCUCAACUCAAGCACCUUAGUUUCGUUUUAAAAUAGUGUCUUUACCCUUUCAGUAUUCUGUGGCUUCAAUUUCGUUCUGUUUGAUUUAUUUUUUUGAUAUAAAUUGACCGAUUCUUCAUUUUUCUUCUUUGGACUGGUAACUUGCUUCCCAUAGAACAGAAAUAUGAAUCCACGGAUCAAUUUGUUGUUAAUUUUUGGUGGUAAACUAUCCAAAUGCUUUAUUCAAUGGAGAUUAUCCAAGUGAUCUGUGCAUCUCUCUCAUUCAUCUCUAAAUACUCUAUCCUGUAAUUGAGCAUUUCAUUCUUCUAGUAGUGUGCAUAUAUUUUCUUGUGUGUAUGGGUAAAAAUCUUAUCUUCUUUCUUCGUUUCAUCUUAUGUGGCAGUGCUGUUCUUGGUGGUGGAGUAGAAGAUGAUAAAGUUUCCUUCUUAUCAAGAAACACAUCGGUUCUUAUAUAUGAAGAAAUAUUUAGAAUUCUGAUGACUUUCAUGCUGGAUUCUAGUUUCAUCUGGGUAAAGAAUAUAUGUUCUUUAUUAAGUAAGAGGGGAAAUUAUUCUUGCCGGGGAUUUGAAUCUUCUACUAAUGUGCUUGAGAUGGCUCAUUUUGCCCUGGAUAUUCUAAAUGGUAGUUUCUUUUGUCUGAAGACUAUGAAUGAUGAAACCGAGUUAGUUUCAGGUAUAUUAGCUGCAAUAUUUAUCAUUGACUGGGAAUUUAACGUGUUAAGUGUUACCAAGGAUGAGAACCAGAUGGGAGAAAUUGAGGCCAGAUUGACAUUCUGUCAGGCUAUCCAUAUUUUUCGUAGCAAGAUAUAUAAUCAGUUCUUUGAAAGUCUCAGCAUAAAUAAUCGAAACAGCCUGGGAACUGUUUUGGUUGAGUCAAUAAAAUGCAUUAUAUUUAUGGAAACUAAAUUAGAUUAUGAGAGAAUCAUAUCUUUAUGCUGCCAAUGGAUGGGUGACAUUUUUGAAUAUUUCUGUAAAGACCAAUUCGAGGAACAGCAGUUGUUGGAGCAAUUACUGACAAAGAAUGAUUGGUGGCCUUUGUGGAUCAUGCCAGAUAAUCGUUUAGGAUCCAGCUUCAAAGCUGAAAAUGGUCCUCUCUAUGUGAGUUUUACUAGUGUUAUUGUUAUUUUUUCUAGCAUUUUGUUUUGAUUUAUUUAUUUUUCGGGUGAGAAAGGGCUAAGAGACGUUUCUUAGCCUCUGUUUGUCUACCAUUAUUUCAAAGUUCUUUAUUUUUGAACUCAUUUUCAACCACACAUUUUCAUAAUAAAAUAUUUUACACGUAAACCCAAAAUUUCUUCUUAAUUUUGAACCACACAUUCUCCAAAAAUUCACUAUUCCAAAAAUUAUUUUCCUAUUUUAAUGGUAGACAAACAAAGGGCUUAAUUUGACUCCACUCAAUCAACACAUUGCAGUGGUCUUUUUUUGUCUGUCUGUACUUGCUUUGGCAAAUCCUUUAUAUGUUGCAGAACUUCUCUUUUCCUAUGUCAUUAUGUUUUCGAGCUUUAUUUUGGGAUAACUGAUUAUAUGCCAUCCUCAUCUAUGUCAAAAAAUGAAGCUUCCACUGAAAACUGAAAUCCUUGAGUCCUUGUGGGUGAUGUCUUGAGAUAUGCCCUUAAUUGGCUGACUGAUGAUCUGACACGAACAGUCUUGGGGCAUGAGAAUCACAUUCUUCUUUACCUUGAGUUCAUGCUGUGUACCCUAUCCGAUCUUUUAUUUAGCAACGUGAUCUCUCUUAAUCAAAUCAAAAUCAACCAUAAUAUUGCUGAUAUAUCUUAUUUAGCCCUUGUUUGAUCCCCAUUAUUUGGUAAAAAUACAUUUUUCAACAGUGUUUUGACAUCAUUUCCACCACACAUUUUCAAUAAAAUAAUAUUACAUACAAAUCUAAAACUUUUUUCUUAUUUUUUAACUACACAUUUCACAUCAAUUCACUAUUCAAAAAUUCAUUCUAUUCCCCAAAAUGGGGCUCAAACAAGGGCUUAGUAUAUUCACGGUGAAGUCUUCAACCAGAACUUGCUGUCUCAGUUUCUUCAUAACACAACUUCAAGUAAAUUAAGCACUCCCGAACAUGUAAUAAAGCUGUUUAUCGGUACUUGUAUAUAUUAUAUAACAUGGGUACAACUGACAGAAGCUAAGUUUUACCUAUACAAUUUAUUUGCAGGCAUCCAAAAACACCUUGUUUGUUGCUUUACUUGACAAACUAAUAUCCAGAAUUGGAUUUGCACGAGUUAUUGCUGCUGCUACCUCUCCAUCUUUAACUGGGGAGCCUAUUAGAGACCUACCAACAAAUAAUCUGUAUUCUUCUCGAGCCUGGCUUGCUGCUGAAAUUUUAUGUACAUGGAAAUGGCUUGGUGGUAGUGCUUUGCACUCUUUUCUGCCUUCUCUAAGUGAAUAUGUGAAGCAUUCUUGUGAAAACUGCCUUCUGGAUUCCAUCGUCAGCAUUCUGCUUGAUGGUGCUCUUGUCCAGGGAGCUGGUACUGGGUUAAGUCCCUUAUGGCCUGCUUCAUACGAUGAGGUACAGGGCAUUGAGGAACCCUUUUUGAGAGCUCUUGUAUCAUUAUUGUUGACUUUUUUUCAAGAUGAUAUAUGGGGGAAGGGCAAAGCUGUAUCGCUCUUUAAUGCACUUCUAGAUAAGCUCUACAUUGGUGAUACAACGAACUUGAAUUGCUUGAGGAUUCUUUCUUCUGUUAUGAGCAUACUUAUAAGACCCUUAAGCAUCAGAUUGGUAGACUCCAGUGUGAGUGACGAGUGUGAUUAUUACAGCCAAAGCAAAUUUCACGAAUCAGUAGUAGACUGGCUUGAGAGAACUGUAUCUUUCCCUCCAUUGAAUACAUGGCAAACUGGAGAAGGUAAAUGCAAGCUACAAUUAGUUUUCAUUCAUGUACUGGGCACUUAUAAUUAAAUUAUCCUCAUAAAUAUAUGAUUAUAUAGUAGUAGUCAUAAAGGGAAAUGAAUUGUAGUUUUCCACGGCUUUAUAUCUCGAAGCUAAGGCAUAUAUCUAUUUUUUGGGUAUCUAAUGGCAAAAAUCUCAUAAUGUGCCACCAUGGUGUUGAUGCAGUUCAUUCUUGUUAUCCGACAUUCUGGCUUUGCUAUAUUAACAAUUUGACUUUUUCUACCAGAUAUGGAGGAUUUCUUUCAGUUGGUUAUAUCUUGCUUCCCAAUUAAAGCAACAGAACAAUUGCAGGGGUUAAAACAAGAGAGAUAUAUCAGUCCUGUGGAGAAAGAACUUCUUUACAAGUUAUUUGAGAAGCAGAGACAGCAUGCUGGUGCAUCAGCUGUAGUAAACAAGCUGCCAUUGGUUCAGAGGUUGUUGUCACAGUUAGUGGUUGUUUCAGUUGCUUAUUGCUGGGAGGAAUUCAAUGAAGAUGAUUGGAAUUUUGUUCUAACUCGGUCAAGAUUUUGGAUUGAGUCAACUGUUGUUAUGAUCGAGGAAGUUGCUGAAAAUGUGAAUGAUGCUGUGUCAAACUGUUCUAGUUCCAAUGAUAUGACAGAUACUCUAAAGAAGCUCAAGAUUGCUGUUUCAACCAUAGACCCUUUUCCCAUAAAACUCGCAACAAAUGCACUUCUUGCCUUCUCUCUGUUUUGUGGCCUCAUGGGACUCCAAAAGAAAGAGUAUCCUGAAAAUUCAAACCCUUUGAGGAUUGAGAGGUGGGAGGUCAUCAAGGAUCGAAUUCUAGAAGGUAUUCUUCGUUUAUUUUUCAGUACUGGCGUUGCUGAGGCCAUUGCAAAUUCGUAUUGCCAAGAGGCUUCGUCUGUUGUUGCGUCAUCUCGCCUGGAUCAUCCUCACUUUUGGGAGUUAGUAGCUUCAAGAGCCAUCGAGUCUAGUUCACAUGCAAGAGACAAAGCUUUGAAAUCGAUAGAGAUUUGGGGUCUAAGUAAAGGGCCAAUAAGCUCUUUGUAUGCUUUACUCUUUUCUUGCAAACCACUUCCUCCUGUGCAGUUUGCGGCGUUUGUUAUUAUUUCAACCGAACCUGUGAUGCACUCAGCUUUUAAAUGUGAUGCUGCUAGUUUGGUGAAGGGUGAUACGUCUAACAACGAGGGUCCUCACAAUCCUGAUAUUUCUUCUGAAGGAAAUGUUCGUUUGAGGGAAGAAAUUUCUCACAUGCUUGAAAAGUUUCCAGAGGAGGUCUUUGAAAUGGAUUUAGUGGCAAAUGAGCGGGUAAGUAAUAUGUAACCGUGAGCAUUAACUUUCCGCCCUUUGCUCCUUUGUGAUGUCUUAAUGUUUUGGUUACUCUAGGAGUAGGUAACAUUGCAUAAGAGAGAUGUUGAUUGCUUAGUUAAAUUAUAUGUAACAUUACCUCAUAGGCUGUGUUGCCUCUGUUAAACUUACAGGUGAACAUAUUUCUUGCUUGGUCUUUGUUUCUGUCACAUCUAGGAUCCUUGCCAUCAACUUCGUCUGAAAGAGAAAGAAUGGUUCAAUAUGUGCAAGACUCUAUCAAUUCAGUAAUACUGGAUUGUCUUCUCCAACACAUUCAAUUGGAAUUGUACGUGGUGCCAGGCUCAAGAAGGAAAGAUGUAGAACUUCCAGCAACAGUAUCCGAAGCAGCCACAGCUGCAACACGUGCCAUCAGGGACAGAUCAGUAUUGUUUUGCAUAGAGUCACUUUGGCCUGUUGGAAUAGAGAAAAUGGCCUCACUUGCUGGUGGAAUAUUUGGUUUGAUGCUUCAUAUUCUUCCUGCCUAUGUUCGUGGAUGGUUUAGUGACAUACGAAAUCGUUCUACUUCAUCUUCUGUUGAAUCUUUCACGAAAGCAUGGUGUAGCCCAACACUUGUUACAAAUGAAUUAUCUCAGGUGUGUGUGACAUGAUUCCUGUUUGCUGUUGAUUACAGUUUAAUUCCAGUUGACUUGUUUUUUGACUCCGUAAAAAAAUCUGUAUGUCAUGGAAACAGCCUCUCUGCUUGCAAGGGUAAGCUUCAUGAAUAUAAUCCCCAUCAUCUCAUAGUGUCUUGAGCAUUCUGCAUUGGGUAUCCUCUCUCUAGAAAUAGCUAGAUUCCAAGCCUUCUAGAGAUAUUGUGAACCUUAAAUAUCAUGUAAGAUACGAGAUGUUUGUUUCAAUGCUUCAAUGUCCGUUAAGUUUAUAUUGCAAUAAGGAUACCUGAUGUGAUCACAGCAUAAAACUGAAGCUUAUUUUUCUCUAUGCAGAUCAAGAAAGCCAGUUUUGCUGAUGAAAAUUUUUCAAUUAGUGUGAGAAAAUCAGCUAAUGAGGUUGUGGCCACCUAUUCGAAGGAUGAAACGGGAAUAGAUCUAGUAAUUCGUCUUCCUCCAUCUUACCCUCUGAGACCUGUAGAUGUAGAUUGUACCAGGAGCCUUGGAAUUAGCGAGUUGAAGCAGAGAAAGUGGUUGAUGUCAAUGAAGUCGUUUGUUUGUAAUCAGGUAUAACCGACAAACUCUUGCUGCUCGGGUGCUACUUUAUGCACAGUGUUUGCCCACUGUAAGACUAAUGCAAUUCAAGAAUUUAUGAUCAAUUGGUUAUGUUUUACUCUUGUUGUAUGUGGGCAUCACAGAUCAACUUUGAUAUUUGUUGAUUUAUCUGGUUCUUGUCCUCCAUCCCUGAUUGAUCAUCUGAGAUUCCCAUUCCCCCACCCACCAUACGGUCUAUAUCAAAUUUUCUAUUGUACCCCUCAUUAAAUUAAAGUGAAUUGAGGUUUUACGACAUAGAUGUGAAGUCCAUAGACCCCCAUUAAGUGGGUUUGUUCUUGAAAAAUGAUAUAAAAUCUUUUUGAAGUAAACGAUGGUGUUGUAUUGUCGAACCACCAUAUAAUAGGGGGUUAAAAAGCCAAAAUAAGUGAUUUUCAGCCCUUAAAAAGAAAUAGAUUCUUGAUCUAAAGCUUAAGCUAUUAGAGAAGGCUAUUGUAUAUCAUUUAAAGUCUUUAACAUGUACCCUCAUGUAUGGUGGGCUCAUUUUUUCCGUCAAAGCUUGAAACAUGCACAAUUUCAAUAAAUGGGUGGUAGUCAGAAUUAAUUCAGGACCUUUGCAUGCCAUAGUAACGUAUAUGACUUCAAUUUUCAUCUUAAAAGGUCGACUUGGUUACGAGUAGUUUAAUCUCUUAUAUGUUUGGGUAGUGUUUCAUAUCUAAUCAAUGUGGGAUUUACACCUGACAUGCCAGCUCAAGAUAGUUGCUCAUUGGAUAACACCAAUCCUGGAAUCUGAUUGCUUGUUUGAGCUUUAAAGGGAUUGAAUUAUUUCUUUGAACUUUUUUUUUUUUUUUUUGUUCUAAUACCAUUUUGAACAACUUUAUCUAAAUGCUUAAUCUUUUUAGAGUGGACCACUUGUAUAUCAUUUAAAAAUAGUAUUCAAUUUGUAUUAAUCUGCGGGAAAAUUGCAAGUGCAAGAUCUUUUUGGUGGUGGAGUAUGUGUUGAACAUGUCUGAUUUCGUUUUUUUUAUUCACACCCAUGAAAAUUUUGAACUGACUGCAAACAUUGAUUAGUAAUGAACUUCAUGGUCCUCCAAUAUGCCAAGAAAUAUUCAGCAUUGUUUCCAUGUUUUUUACUUUGAACAUUUCUGUUUUGAAAUCUGGAGGUUGAUGAUGUGUGUGAAUGGUACAGAAUGGAGCCUUAGCUGAAGCAAUACGGAUAUGGAAGAGCAAUUUUGACAAGGAAUUUGAAGGUGUUGAAGAGUGCCCUAUCUGUUAUAGUGUCAUCCACACUGCCAACCAUAGCUUGCCUCGCCUUGCUUGCAAGACCUGCAAGCAUAAAUUCCAUUCUGCCUGCCUCUACAAGUGGUUUUCAACUUCUCACAAAUCAACCUGUCCCCUGUGCCAAUCUCCCUUUUGAUCCCAGAAAAUGAAGUCAUCACAUUUAUUCACUGCGCUGCAGUUUUUAAGUGUAAUCUCAGGUGCUUUAUAUUUAUUGACUGCGGACUCAAUUUGAAGAAUGCAAAGGGCACUAAUUUCAAGCAUCCAAACUUUAAAGUGCUUAAAACCGCAGCCCCNNNNNNNNNNNNNNNNCCCCCCCCCCCCAUCUCUCUCCCCAUCUCUGUGACCACGAGUUGCAUCAUACCAUCUGGGAUGACGUUCUUGAUUAAAAUUGCCUGAGCUUGCUUUGAGGAGACUUGUUGAGCUCUAGGAACUCCUGGAGUCCGUUUUGUGUGACAUGUUGAUAUGGUGAGUCUGCUCUUUUCAUUAUAUUGUGCUUGAGUUGUCCAAUUUAGACAUGUUUAGUUAGAAAAAAACAUCAAAUCCAAGAAAGACACAUUAAAAAUUUUCCUGUGAGAAUUUAUGCAUAUUUUGAUCUUAUUUUAUUGCUGUAUUUUUUUAAAAAGAAAUCACAUUAUUUUUUUCCUGUUUCUGUAUUCUUUCCCCAUUUGUAACUGUCAUUAUGGUGGUCAAUGUGUGUGGUGGACUCAAAAUGCACACAAAUUGGCAUCAACUCUGUUUUCACGAGAGACCACGUGCCAUUGUUCUAUUGAACUGGGGGUUUGGGAGUUGGGUGGCAUAGUUUGAUUGGGGAACAAGAUUCUUUCAAUCCUAUAUUCAAAGAUGAUUGCUUGCUUUGCAACCAGAGCUGGGAACAUUCAUUUGAGUGUAACUUCUGCUUGUGGAAUCUAUUGUUAAACAAGGGCAUUUUGUGAUUUGGCACUUGUGCUUGGGUCUUUAAAAUUGAGGGAGGACAUCUUCCACCAGUGCAUUCUCCUAAAUUCUGUGAAGCACUGCUAGGUCUUAGUAUUCACUCUUACAUCACUGAUCCAACAGCUGGACUUGGAUGUCAGAAGUGCAUGGGAACUGGGCCUUAGAAUACCCUAUAGGCUAAUGCCUCUUAUCCCCGGGGCCACAUAGGCGGAUGGACACGUCCCCCCCUGGAAAUCCCGGGCUAGCAAAACUCUACCCUAUAUAACAUGGGUCCAAUAGCUGCUAAAAUUGAUUUCGACAUUUGAUUAAAUGAAAAGAUAAAAGAGGAUUGACUAACUGUUGUUCUAUUGGAUGACGGUGGGAACUUGGAAAGUUAUUCCCCUGUUUUUUUCCCAUACCGUCUUUAUCCAUCCUCGUAUUUUUUUGUGUCGAAUUUUGUUUCUGGAACCCGGGCCACCGUGGGAGGAGUUUGGUUCUGCUGGUUUUGCAUUUGUAGUGGUAAUUCAAUGACUUGCGUACGAAUCAACCAAGUUUCUUGAUUAGGCAUGUGUACCACCACGGUUGGCAGUUUCUAGCUGUCCUUUUAUGUAACAUCCAAAUAACCAUAUAAAGUGAAAAUAAAUUGAUGAUGCCAUUUUAUGCAAUAGAAAUUCACCUUUUUGCAUGUUGUACAUAUUUUUUCUAUUAAUAAUAAAUUUGAUUUUCUUGUUCAUUGCAGACGUAGAUGUUAAGACUUGGGGAUUGCAUCUUAAAAUAUCAACUUUUUUAACAGUAGUCCAAGAUCUUAUAAGUUGAUCUAUAUUUUUAUCUUUAAUCGAUGUGAGAUUUUAUUCCUUAACAUAACCCCUCAAAAUGGUGACCAAUCUUGAAAUUCGUAUGCUCAUUUAUUGAGUUUUAAUCGGAUUGAAUCGUUUGUUGGAGUUUAAUGAGUUUUAAUACCAUAUAAAGAUCUGGGGUUCCAUCUUAAAAUGUCAACAUUGUUAAAGUAAUUGCCUAAGACCUUAUAACUUCAUCUAUGUUUCAUCUUUAAUCGAUGUGGGAGUUUAUCCCUUAACAAGAGAGAUUUUAAAUCCUUAUGAUUGUGGUGUUGAAAUGUAGGUCUUGUUCUUGGAAUUCAGGCCAGAGAUUUAUGCAUUGAUGGAUGUGGUGACAAGGAUACUUGUAUUCAUAGGUAACAAUUUCUCCCAUACGAAUAUCGCUUGCAUUUGGGAUCCUCCACUUAAGUCCCAGGAGUACAUGUGGGAACCAGAAGACAAUCAGAAGAUUCGACGAAGAUAUUAAGGAUGCUCCUCUCUGCCAAUAGUUUUAAAAUAUCUAACGUGAGAACACAAGAAUGCGUGUAUAAAUACAUCCAAUAUGCAUUCAGAAUUUUUAAGUGUAGGGGUAUUCUUUUUUUGUUUUUUUAUUGUUUUUGCAUGCAUGUAUUACAGGGAAAUUAGCCAGGUGAAUGUUAAUGAGUUUUGACAAGAUUUUGAUGAUUAUGUUGCUGCUCCCGAGGUUUCUUGUCACUGUUUUCUGGUUUUUCUUUAUGGGUAGUACUGUAGUAGCUUACAGUCAAAGGCACGUGAAAGAGGAGAAAAAGUUUUCUGCUUGUUUUGAAUUUCUUCUUAGAAUUGUUUUCUGCAUUUUAAGAUGAUGAAUGUCAAAAUUAGAGGUUCAAAAGUAGGU